CGCGUAGGCGGGAUGGCAAGUCGGUCGUGAAAUCCCUGGGCUCAACUCAAGGGGGUCGGCCGAUACUGCCGUUCUUGAGGGAUGCAGAGGAGACUGGAAUUCCCGGUGUAGCGGUGAAAUGUGUAGAGAUCGGGAGGAACACCGGUGGCGAAGGCGGGUCUCUGGGCAUUCCCUGACGCUGAGGCGCGAAAGCGUGGGGAGCAAACG
This 207-nucleotide ribosomal RNA is filed under the name uncultured bacterium. Its description in RNAcentral is "partial 16S ribosomal RNA". It matches the Rfam family "Bacterial small subunit ribosomal RNA", at positions 568 to 774 of the family's 1533-position model. The record is from RNAcentral.